UGGGUAUAAACAAACGUUACCCAAAUUUGUCUAAUCGAGCUAGACUUGGGUCAGUACACGCAUUAAUUUUCAUAAAAAUAGCAACCCUUCGGCUAAACAGGAUUCUGAUUAUCAUAUUGAGCGACAUCAAAAUCAUGGGAGUUUCUGCAAAGUGCAUUAAACCAUAUUACCUUGUAGCACUAUUUCAUGACCUAAACAUCGCACAGAGACACUUAUGUAAGUUUUCUACUCACAUUGGUCGUUCAGACAUGCACCUCCCGCCGCGGGAGCGGCAGAUCAAAGUCAUAAUCAGGAGAUUAUGGUAUUGUGUCAAUGUAUUGACGAAGUUCUUAUUAAUAUUAUAUUACCAAUAUAUUAUUUAAUAACAUUAAAAGAUAUCAGGGUCGUAGACACUAGCAGAAUCGUUGUAACUGUACUACAGUAUGUGUAUAUUGAAAGUGUAUAAUUAGUGCAAGUGUAAGUUAAAGGCACAGUUCAGCCUUUUGAACGAUGGCUUUUAAGGCGCAUUUCAGACCUUUUAAUUGAAAAAACUAACUAGGAAAAUCAAUUAAGUAUAAUUCAAAAUCAGUAAACUCGA
Non-coding RNA from Paramuricea clavata, 577 nucleotides. NCBI's taxonomy places the organism in Eukaryota, Metazoa, Cnidaria, Anthozoa, Malacalcyonacea, Plexauridae. The record is from the annotation of a GenBank genome assembly.